Molecule: ribosomal RNA, 497 nt
Filed under: uncultured bacterium
Lineage: Bacteria
Description: partial 16S ribosomal RNA
Rfam family: Bacterial small subunit ribosomal RNA
Source: RNAcentral
GACGAACGCUGGCGGCGUGCCUAAUACAUGCAAGUAGAACGCUGAAGCGAGGAGCUUACUCUUCUUGGAUGAGUUGCGAACGGGUGAGUAACGCGUCGGUAACCUGCCUUGUAGCGGGGGAUCACUAUUGGAAACGAUAGCUAAUACCGCAUAACAAUGGAUGACACAUGUCAUUUAUUUGAAAGGGGCAAUUGCUCCACUACAAGAUGGACCUGCGUUGUAUUAGCUAGUAGGUGAGGUAAUGGCUCACCUAGGCGACGAUACAUAGCCGACCUGAGAGGGUGAUCGGCCACACUGGGACUGAGAAACGGCCCAGACACCCUCGGCAGGCAGGACGAUGGAACGUUCGGGAAUUGGGUCAAGCCUCACCGAGCUAAGCCGCCAGAGUGAAGAAGGGGUUCGGUGCGUGUGUCCCGGUUGUAAAGCAAGAGCGGGGAGGUCGGGGGAAGGUCCAUGCACUGACGGUAGCUUAUGAGAAAGAGAAGUCUAACUACGUG